CCUACGGGUUGCAGCAGUGGGGAAUAUUGCACAAUGGGCGCAAGCCUGAUGCAGCCACGCCGCGUGUAUGAAGAAGGCCUUCGGGUUGUAAAGUACUUUCAGCGAGGAGGAAGGCAUCAAGGUUAAUAACCUUGGUGAUUGACGUUACCUACAGAAGAAGCACCGGCUAACUCCGUGCCAGCAGCCGCGGUAAUACGGAGGGUGCAAGCGUUAAUCGGAAUUACUGGGCGUAAAGCGCACGCAGGCGGUUGAUUAAGUUAGAUGUGAAAUCCCCGGGCUUAACCUGGGAAUGGCAUCUAAGACUGGUCAGCUAGAGUCUUGUAGAGGGGGGUAGAAUUCCAUGUGUAGCGGUGAAAUGCGUAGAGAUGUGGAGGAAUACCGGUGGCGAAGGCGGCCCCCUGGACAAAGACUGACGCUCAGGUGCGAAAGCGUGGGGAGCAAACAGGAUUAGAUACCCGCGUAGUC
Molecule: ribosomal RNA, 465 nt
Filed under: uncultured bacterium
Lineage: Bacteria
Description: bacterial SSU rRNA
Rfam family: Bacterial small subunit ribosomal RNA
Source: RNAcentral